This is a long non-coding RNA of Vidua chalybeata, 407 nucleotides long. RefSeq lists it as uncharacterized. The record is from RefSeq and is a predicted model, not a curated record. The transcript has 3 exons. NCBI's taxonomy places the organism in Eukaryota, Metazoa, Chordata, Aves, Passeriformes, Viduidae.
GCCGUUGGAAGUGAGUUAGACAUCACAGCCACAGUCACCUUCUCAUAAAGUCCCAGAUUUGCACCCCAUAAGCAACAUAGGGGAGAAAUCCAGGACACAGAGAUUGUAGACAGAAUCACUGGAUUAAAUGGAUUCACCGGAUGAAAUGGUAACCAAAUGGUAACCACUGGAUUCAUUGGAUGAAAUGGUAACCAAAAGUACACAGCAUGUGGAGACUGCUGAUUUUUAACCAGCCCGAUGUUGUGAUCAUGAAACACACUGUACCUUAGCAACUAAGGCUUUAAGUGUCUAGCAAGCAGAGCACACAGAAUAUGUAAAUUUGGGAUGUUUGCUGUUCCCACCAAAGUCUCAAGUCCAGGGUACAAACAGUUAAGCUUCUGUAAAGUAAAAUCAUAUUGACUUAUGAA